This 504-nucleotide ribosomal RNA is filed under the name uncultured Desulfobulbus sp. Its description in RNAcentral is "bacterial SSU rRNA". It matches the Rfam family "Bacterial small subunit ribosomal RNA", at positions 903 to 1382 of the family's 1533-position model. Lineage: Bacteria; Pseudomonadati; Thermodesulfobacteriota; Desulfobulbia; Desulfobulbales; Desulfobulbaceae. The record is from RNAcentral.
CGCCUUGCCAGCCCGCUCAGAAACUCAAAUGAAUUGACGGGGGCCCGCACAAGCGGAGGAGCAUGUGGUUUAAUUCGAUGAUACGCGAGGAACCUUACCUGGGCUCGAACGUAAGAUGACUGUAGGUGAAAGCUUACAUCUCUUCGGAGCAUUUUACGAGGUGCUGCAUGGUUGUCGUCAGCUCGUGCCGUGAGGUGUCGGGUUAAGUCCCAUAACGAGCGCAACCCUUGCCUUUAGUUGCCAGCAGUUCGGCUGGGCACUCUAAAGGGACUGCCGGUGUUAAACCGGAGGAAGGUGGGGAUGACGUCAAGUCCUCAUGGCCUUUAUGACCAGGGCUACACACGUACUACAAUGGCCGAUACAAAGGGCAGCGACACUGCGAGGUGAAGCCAAUCCCGUAAAAUCGGUCUCAGUCCGGAUUGGAGUCUGCAACUCGACUCCAUGAAGUUGGAAUCGCUAGUAAUCGUGGAUCAGCAUGCCACGGUGAAUACGUUCCCGGGCCUU